This is an RNA transcript of Cyanidioschyzon merolae strain 10D, 1765 nucleotides long. RefSeq lists it as hypothetical. Lineage: Eukaryota; Rhodophyta; Bangiophyceae; Cyanidiales; Cyanidiaceae. The transcript has a single exon. The record is from RefSeq and is a predicted model, not a curated record.
CGACUAGGUGGCGCCUGUGGUUCCCUGCGCACUCCAGGUCGUAUGCAGUCGCAGAAACAGUCGCUGGAAAGCUCGGACCAACACGCAACUCCUCAACCUAUUGGUGAUUCUGCAACGGUAGAGGACUUGCUCCAUCGAGAGUGUGAGCGCUUGGUCAGCCAGCUCCGGAGACGAGGAGCACAGCUGGAGCAGCGCUUGCGCUCUAAUGCUCAACACCAGAUAAGGCUCUUGGAGCGGCUGCUGGACUAAGGCCGUGUUUACCCAUGAGCACAUACAAAGUAUCUGCCUUAAGGUCUGGAUUCGGCGAGAAACUGCCGGUGUUCCCGACAGGACGCUUCAAGAGAGAGCUGCGUUGUCUGCUUUACGCUGCGAAAACAGUCUAGUCCAACGAGUGCCGUCCUUGAACGGUGGAAAAUUCUGCGCCUGUGGUGGCAUAGAAGCACCGGCAACUGGUGCCCGGUGCCAUACUCUGCUGUGGUGUUUGACCUAUGUUCCUAUUCCAGGCGAGGCACUCCACAGGGACGCGGUCUGAAGCCGUUGGCCGUCUAUCAGAGCGACAGCGCGUCGAGUUCGGCCCCUUGCCCAUGAUAGUCGGAUGCGCGUUGCCCGAAGCGCAAGUUGCUUACUAACCGGGAACGCUUGCGCUCUCAAUGUAGAACGGGUGCACAGUAUUGAAAACGCACUCUUGCGCCGAGCAGAGAGCAUCCUGCGCACUGCAUCGUAGGCGGCCGGUCUGGGUAUCAAGAGGCUAGCGUUUCGGAAAUCUCAGUGCUUUCUGGCAAAACGCUUCAAAAAGCACUGAUGACGAUAGAGUAGAAAUUCCCAGUGUUCCCACUCAGGGGACAUACACUUUAGACAGCGCAGCAGCCAAAUCUGGUUUCAUGGAAUCCGACAACCAGGUAGGGAUCGGCAAUUUCUUUUGCUCGAGAAAACUCGGCUGAAACAUUUUCUUUUGAUAGCGAGAACCGCCAUCACAAAGGAUCGUCACGAUGGUAUGCCCAGGGCCGAGACUCUCUGCAACCCUGAUCGCGCCGGCAAUAUUGAUACCACUUGAGAGGCCAAUGUGCAACCCUUCGUGCCGCACGACAUCAUAAGCUGCUUGCAGUGCCUCUGCAUCACUGAUCUCGAAGCUCAUAUCUGGUACGAAUCCUUCAAGGUUCCCAGUAAUUCGACUUUGACCAAUGCCCUCGGUAAUAGAAUCGCCGACGGAGACGAGCUCUCCGCAUUGAUAGUAUCGCACGAGAGCGGCCCCUUGCGGAUCCGUUAGUGCAAUUUUAAUGCCAGGAUUCUUUGCGCGCAAAAAUGCACUGACCCCCGCCAGCGUGCCGCCAGUGCCGACAGCACAGUUGAACGCGUCAAUAUGACCAUCGAGUUGAUCCCAAAUUUCUGGACCGGUAGUUUCCUCAUGAGCUCUGCGGUUUGCAGGGUUAUCGAACUGGUUUGCCCAGAAUGCACCAAGUUCCUUGGCUAGCCUCUCGCUCAGGCGUACGUAGUUGUUCGGGUUUCUGUAUGGCGCAGCUGGAACUUGCACGAGCUCGGCACCACAGGAUCGGAGAAACUCUUUCUUUUCCUCAGACUGUGUUUCUGGAAUAACUAUCACCGUUCUAUACCCGCGGGAGUUUCCCAAUAGCGUUAAACCGAUACCAGUGUUCCCUGCUGUGCCUUCUACCACAAUUGAGCCGAGCUUGAGCGUCCCUCGCUUUUCAGCGUCGGUGAGAAGGUAGAGAGCAGCGCGGUCUUUCACAGAUCCGCCGGGUUCCAUAAA